RNAcentral lists this long non-coding RNA (1187 nucleotides) under Monodelphis domestica (gray short-tailed opossum). RNAcentral's name for it is "lncRNA (ENSMODG00000045099.1)". Lineage: Eukaryota; Metazoa; Chordata; Mammalia; Didelphimorphia; Didelphidae. The record is from RNAcentral.
AUGCUAUCCACAUUCAGAGGAAGAUCUUUGGGAGUAGAAACUCACAAGAAAAACAACUCCUUUUACAUGAGUCGAGGGGGAUAUGAUUGGUGAUGUAGCCUCUAAAUGAUCAUCCUAGUGCAAACAUCAACAACAUGGAAAUAGGACACAUAUAAAACCCAAUGGAAUUAUGUGGAAUAGCUAUGGGAAGGGGUGGGGGAGGGGAGGGAAAGAAUAUGUUUUUGUAACCAAGGAAUAAUGUUCUAAACUGACUAAUUAAAUAAAAUGUUCAAAAAAAUGAAAAUAAAAAAAAAUGCUAGUACCAGGAAAUCAGCUGCUGGAGGGGACUGAUUACAGUGUAGCCACUUCCUCUUUCCUCUACUAAGCUGGUCAAACUUAAUGGAGUCUGGACCUGGCCAAAAGUGAGUCUACCCCUCCCAACUUUCUUCUAUGCCUUUGAAAUCUUCCCUCCUAUUACAAACUUAGAGACACUCUUCUAUAUACUAAAUGGCUACUUUAUUUCUUUGAAAAUAAGUAUAGAGGAAAAGGGUAGAGGGAAAAGAUGGGCAAUUCCUAAUGACUUUUCCCCUAUCAACUGUUGAAAACUUUGUUACAAAGUCCCUUCAGAGAAAUGGGUUGACUUAAGUCAGCAGAGGUCUUCAGUGGGCAAAGACUUCUUUUGCUAAGCCAAGGUAGAAAAGGUAUUGGAAAGGCAACUCCCUCCCUGGCUCUUGUCAGAGUCUCUAGUGAGAUAGUGUGUUUCGAGACCCAGUUCUGGCCAACAGUUUUCCUCCUUUGAAUCUUCUUUUGAAUUCCAUGGAAUUCCCCUCCCCCACUGGUUCAUGGCUGUUCCAUCUGCUUCUCCUUGGUCCAUUUUCCUUACAUUUCAGGUUUUACUCUGCUUUUUUCCAUUCUUCCUUGAUUACUGUGGUAAGGUGGUGUAAAAAAUAGAUUCGAAUACAGGACUACAAUCCCCAUGAGCCUUUGCUCCACUUCCCCAGAAUGCCUUGUAAUCUCACCUGGGCUGAGAUCGAGAAGGCUGGGCAGAUAUAAUGGAGUCAGUCAGUCUAGACCAGAGGGUAAGUCUACCCCUCACAGCCUUCUUCUUUUGAUGAAUUAAAAAUCCUCUCUCACUUUGUAAGAAUUGGAAAUAAUUUCUACCCAGAUAUAUAUUUUAUAAAGUUUAUUGGAAAGGGUAGACAAUUAUU